Molecule: long non-coding RNA, 737 nt
Organism: Oreochromis niloticus (Nile tilapia)
Lineage: Eukaryota; Metazoa; Chordata; Actinopteri; Cichliformes; Cichlidae
Exons: 4
Source: RefSeq, a predicted model, not a curated record
AGCGGAUAACAGUCUUGAGUACCUGCUGGUCUUUGAAGCUGUGGAUUCUGGGACUGUUGGAAAAGCUCCAACAAAAUGAGGAAGAGGAGCGGGAGAAACACACUUAGAUUGAAUUACAAUUGGAUGGAAGUCGAGGACAAGGAGAAGGAAGCUUAGGAUGAGGAGGAAGAAAAGCAGCAGGAGCAUCUUUAGGGAUCUCUAUGAUGUCAUUGAGAGGCGGCGGCGAGAGGGGAGACCUCGGCUCAUCCAGCUGGAGAGCCUGACCAGGAGGAGUCUACAUUAACUCGGCUCUUCCAGGGCACCCUGCAGACUCGGCUGCUGGCAACAGCGAGGGAUGAUGUGAACGCCAAACUGGAGUCCAUCACAGGUCGACUGCAGCUCCUUGUCUCAGAGAUGGAGGGAUUUGAAGCACAAAGGGAGCAGCUUGUCGUUUGGUUGGCUGAUAUGGAUGCCCGCCUGAGUGAGGUUGACCAGCUGACAGGAAACACCUGUGAAAAACUGAAACAACUGCAGGUGUGGCGUUGUUUUGAUAUGACAUAUAUUUGAUAUGAUACAUACGUCAGAGACAUUAUCCUAAACUGGACUAACAAAGAACCAGGAGUCCAACAUGAAACUUACCUUACAUAAGGUAAGGCUGAAGUUCAUUGAUAAUUUUGAUCAAAAACUUGUUGUUGAAAUAUUUUUACUGAACAUGCAAACAUCUGCUGAUGACAAUGUGUUGAUUUAUUGGUCUGUUA